Molecule: long non-coding RNA, 9831 nt
Filed under: Sorghum bicolor (sorghum)
Lineage: Eukaryota; Viridiplantae; Streptophyta; Magnoliopsida; Poales; Poaceae
Description: long non-coding RNA (SBIC_LNC008182)
Source: RNAcentral
CGGCACAUUAAUAUCUCUAUGUAAACCCGACGUGUGGGCCUUUCCUCCGUAUUUCCUAAUAACCCGCUGCAGAAAUAGACAAGCACCAAAACUCGUGGAAUUCUAUCAGAUAAAACCCUAAGUCUGGGUGUUGGUUGCAUUUGGAUCCUUUUCCAUGAUUAGUUGAUGGUUAAAUGUGAACAUUAAGGACCGUCAACAAGCUCCCCCAAGCUUAACCUUUGCUCGUUCCUGAGCAAAGAUGAACUCAAGAGUUUCUACAGUGGUUUUAUGCCUUAAAGGUACACAUGUGUUCAAACAAGAUCUCAUCUCUGGGUUAGGGUAAGCUGUUAAGAUUUAAACUUACUCAUUUUAGCUUCCACCAUGGGGCUUGCAACCAUCACUUGUGUCUUGAGUAGUUAAAAGAUAGAACGGUCUAGUCAAGCGCCAUGUCUCUUGUUCUUCGAUUAACUAUAGCUCUGGAGUUUUUGCAGAUUUUCAAAUAAAACUCAGAGAUUCCUUGUAUGACUCUCUCUAGACUCUCUUUUGUGGUAUUUCUGGAUCCUUACCAAGGCAGUAAUGAUGUAUGCCUUCUCUCAAAGUAUAUGGUAUUUUUGGUAUGAGGCUUAGUGGCAUUGCCUUCUCUCUCACCCUACUCUAAUAAGGUUUUGAUAUCUGGAGCUCAUAGGUGGGAGACAACUAAUACAUACUUACAAGACAUUUAUUGCAUAGACAAACUAUGGAUCCAGAAGAACAAGUCAAUAAGUCAAAUCAAGAUGUGCAUGUGUGGUGAAUGAAUGGUGUAUGGUGAUGAUGGUGAUAAUAAUGGUGAAAGUCUAAUUCUACUUGUGCUCUUUUGAGGGGAUACAUACCUUUCUUGCUCUUUUGAAACUUUUUGAGGAGAAUGAGAUGCUCUUAUUUUCUUUUUCUUUUCUCUCAGGUGGGUAUCUUGUACCCCUAAUUCUAUUGUCGGACACUUGUCCAUUUUUACCUCUCGUCUCACUUUUUCUUUUCUUUCGAGGUUCCGGGCACUUGCCCCUUUUUAUUUCCUCAUAUCAUUUUUUAUUCUUCUUCUCUUUUUUGUAGAGCACUCAUCUCUUGAAAUAAUAUAGCAAGUGGUAAUAACCAAGAUAACUUGAGCAUUUAUUUCACAGGGAAAAUAGGAAUAUUUGUGGCUAUUCUCUCUCGGAUUAGGAGUAGAAUAUUUUUAGGUGAUUCUGGAGAUGGAAAUGGGUGGAUAUAUGUGGAUGCAUACUUCUGAAGUAGAAGCAGCAUGUGUGAGUGAACGUGCAAGUGAAUCUUGAUUUAACCACAUGACAAGCUCCUAAGGGUUUACACAUCUUGACCACACUCAAUGCUAAUAAGCAGUAAAAAGUAAAUGUGUGGCUCAAAGUCUAGCAAGCAUGUAUAUAUGGCUGUGGUAGGAAUUUAAACACUCAUCAUACAGGAACUCAUCACGUGAUAUUUUAAAGAUUUUCAAAGAUAAAAUUCUCCAGAAUUCUAGCAUCUCUAGGAACAGAUAAACAGCAGCUCAACGUUCCCAUAUCAUAUCCGUUAACGACUUAGACUUUAGAUCAAGUACUCUUCCCACAAGUUGAUGUUUAGAGCAAAUCUUAAUUUAUAACAGUCAUGCCUAAACUUGAGAGAGAUUUCAAUUUUGAGAACUAGUCAUGGCAGAGCUACUAUUCAUUAUUUCCAUGUGAGAGCUUAUCAUGAGGGUUCAUAGCCAACUUUAUUUAUUUAUUUAUUUAGCAAACUAAGCAACGAUAUAUAUAUAUAUAUAUAAGCACAAAAUCUUUAUUUGGGUUUUUAUGAUUAUGCAUCUUUUUAUUAUUUGAGUAAUGUAAAAACAUGAGUAGAAUACUUAGCUGGAUAAAUGCGGGUGCUCUCCCCCAAGCUGGAUUUUGACGUAAUUUCUCCUGAUGUAGCUAGCACCAUGACAGCGAUUAGGAUGUCCUCCGUCUGCUAGUCUUCUUUGAUCCUUGAAUUCUGUGGAGCUCAAAUAGACAACAAAGCUUUGUGGAACUAGUUAAGUGUUAUCAUAAAUAUCUAGCCUUUAUCAUGUUGAGCCUCCUCAAUAAAUGUUACACUCUUUGGUAGGAUCAUAAAUUUAUUUUUAUAUUUUCAUUUUUAUAGCACAUAAAUAUAUUUAUUUUAUUUUUAUGCCACCACAGUGAAUGUACUUGUGGGUUUUAUGCCAUGAGCAUACUCACAUGGGGCUUACUAUUUUUAACAUUUUUAUUUUCUUUUCAAGAUGAUAUAAACCUGAUUAACUAAGCAAACUACUUUAAAUAAUUGAAAGGAAAAGGAUAACUACCAAGUUUACCUCUUGGCAAGGCGUUCAGUGUUUUUAUGUCCUCCGAACGGGACUCUCCGUUUUCUCAGUCGUCCUGGGAUUCGCUGGAUGGCGUAGUCGGUGGUUCCGGCGGUGCCUCCUCUUCGUGUAUAACUAUCUUCUCUCUACACACCUGACUCAGUGCUACGGUCUCCUCAGGACAGUUCUGUUCAAGUUGUAUGUCUUCAGACCUUACCACUUCUCCUUCGUACUCUGUCCAUCCAUCCUUGAUGAUUUGCCUCCUCUGGUUGCGGUUGUGUUGUCUUCUCUUUGUCCUGACCUGCUUAGAGUCUUCAACUAUAUAGUUAGGGUCAGCAAAAUAGCGGCGUACCUUCUCAGAGGGGAAGUGUAUGUGGACUUCUCCGGUUCCAAUGUAGAUGAUUGCUUUAACGGUGCUAUGGAACGGUCUCCCAAGGACGAUGGGUGGAUCGUACUUGUCUUCUCCCAUGUCAAUAACCUUUUGAAAUGUCUAAUCUGCCAUCUGGAGCUGAAUGUAUGUCGGUUUUAGGGGCUUGGUUCCGAACAGGAGCUGAUAGAUUACUGCGGCCAUAAUGUUGACGCUUGACCCGGUGUCGCAAAGCGCCUUCUGGAAGUUGUAUCCAUUAAUGGAGCACUGGAUGCUUGGCAUACCUGAGUCGUCCUUUUUGGUCAAGAACGGUGAUUUAAGUCGACGAUCUUGACCUCCUUGAACUGUAGUGACCAUCUUAGUUAACUCGGUCCAAAUUUGCUUGUUCCUGUUCCUCCUGUUGGUCCUCUUCCUUGGUUCAUGUCGGGAUUGCUCUGAGAUUUGUGUAGUCUUGUUCUCGAAGGAAAACGUCUCCUUCUUCCCCUUGAUGUAGAAACUGAUCUUGGCAGCACUAGCGUAGAUGACAGCUCCCGAGGUAUUCAGGAAUGGCCCCCCUAGGAUGACGGGUGCCCUCUCAUCAGAACCGGUCUCUAUCACCACGAAGUCUGCUGGGGCGUUUAAGGUACCAACUCAGACAUAGAGGUUCUUCAAUAUUCCCUUUGGGAAACUUAGUGUACGAUCUGCAAGCUGUAAAUACAUGGGUGUUUCUCGUAAAGGAUGUGUAAAGAAUUUUUCAUAGAGUACCUUGGGCAUAAUGUUGACGCUGGAGCCAAAGUCGCAGAGUGUUUCUGGGAAGUCCACCAUGCCGAUGGAGAUCGGGAUGACGGGGUGUCCUGGAUCGCCUCUCUUGACUUGAUUUUGUUGAGGACAGUUGUAGUAGUAGUUGUUGUUGUUAUUGUUGAUGUAGUUUACGUCCUCAAGCAUCUCAGGGUAGUGAUUGCCUGAGUGUCCAGUAUCUCCAGUGUGUUUAUGCUCGUAGAUCUAGGUUCUUCACUUGGUGGAGUCUGGGAGUUGUAAAACUCCUUCAUAUUUUGCUUGAAGUGUACCUGCUCAUAGAGACAAGGUAGAGAUCAAGUGCAUGGGCCCUGUUGGUGGAAAAUACCAACAGAACCAAAAGUGUAUUUGUUCUUCCUCUAACCUUAAGCAUAGUGAGCAAGACAAAGUUGAUGGAUAAUAAGAUCAUGAGUGUGGCAUUUAAAACAUUCGUCAGAUUAGAUCGCUCAACCUAAUGGAAAGAUAAUCUAUCUAUACUUAUGUGUUAUAUAUAUAUAUCUUCCAAAUAUUGAGUGUGCAACAUUUUAGUUCAUAUGACUAAGAGUGUGGGAUCACAAAGGUGGAAGGACUAAACAUAUUGAAUCGAUUGGGUUGGUUAAUCUAGAGUUGUAAAUCAUACAUGUUUGUCUCUUUUAUUUAUGUGAACACCAGAACCAAGGAGAAGCUUAUAGAAGUGAUAGUCAAGUACCUUAAGAUGUUACCUUACUUGAAGAGUGAUGGUACAGUAUCACCUUGUGGAAGCUUUCCUUUCCUAGCAGUUGUGCAUCGUGUUUGUGGCACCCUCCAUGGAUCAUCUCUUGUGAGCUAUGCCUUCCUUGUGUAAAUUGUUAACCUUCAUGUGUCUCUCUCUUUGUCUCCAAUGUGAGUUUAUCUCAGGACUUCCCAGGUCAAUAUUGAAAGUUUUCCUGCAGGGGUUAGUCCAACAAAAUAUCCAAUAUCUACUAUAGCAUACUAUCGGCUCAAAAAUCAACCUAGACACCAUGUCUAAUUUGAUUUAGAAGGGCAUUUUAACCUAGGCAUCAUGCUUAAUUUAAAAUCCCUUGGAAGCAAGAUCAUCAUUCCUAAACUAAGCAUCAUGCUUAAUUAAGAGAUAAAUGAAACUACUCCAAACCUAGACAUAUACUAAGGCAAAUAAAGGUAGCAUGAGAGCAUUUAUAGAGAUCUACUCAAGUGGAGAUGAAGUAGUGUGAUUAGUAUUUAAUAAAUUGAGCAUGUCUCAAAGGUAGGGACAACAAACAUAGCAACAUGGUAAAGGAUGUUUUUAUGUAAAGUACUCCCCCAAGCUUGAAUUUUGGAAAAUUCAAGUUUGGAUGAAUUUAAUUCAAUGUUGUAUGAUGAUUGGUUGGACAUACCUUGUGCUUGUCAUUCAUCCGAUCUUCUUGCUCCAAUCUUGGAAAGGUUAGUGACAAGAAUACCCGAAGGAAUAUUUUACAAUUAUCCUUAUAUGCUCAAUACACAAGGUAAUGUUGCAAAUAAUUAAAAGCUCAUGUUACGAUCUGAUCAGUGCUUAUUUUCGAACAUUAAGCUUGUCCUUGGGAAACCAUCAAUUUAUGUCGGCGAAGUGGUUUCCCCUCCAACGCUGACCUAUAUCAAGAUCAACUCAACGAGAUCUGCAAUAAUUAUUAUAGACAUAUGUAUCGACAACCGCCCUUUAAAGUUUUUAUACAUAGAAAGGAAGAAGGGGUUGGAGAUCUCGAAUGUGGUGAUAUUGGAGAGACCAAAAGAUUGGGAAGAUGUUGCAUAUGAGCAUGGAGCAAAUGAAGUGGCUAUGAAAUAAAUUCCAUGCUCAUUAAUGUUUGGAGUGAAAUCCAUGUGGUAUGGUGAAAAUGGUAAGGUGAGUGUGAUAAAAGGAAAAGAAAAAGGAUACACGGACGACUUGGUUUGAAACUAGCACAGCUACCGUUCCCUGGCAACGGUGCGAGAAAGCUUGUUGGGUAUUUUAAACGCAAACAGAAAAAUCCGCAAGCGCACGGAUACUGAUGUAGCUUUCACCCGGGACUAUUCCAGAGUAUCGAUUUUCCACAGGGAACGUGAGUGUACUAAUUAAGAUUCAAGAUCGCCCAAGGAUAACUAUAUAAUUAUUUUUGGUGGGAAGAGAGGAAGUUUCCUGAGAGUUCUCUAGUUGAUCUAAGAAUCAAGAAUUACUUCAAAGAUUAUUUAUUUCGGGACAUAAGAACACUAACCACAGAAAGAGAUGAGAAGGGGGCUAGGAAGCUCUUACUACGGUCCUACAAACACCGAUCCGAACGAGGUGGAAUACGUCGACCGUUAGGGCUGUCACUACCCUAGGGCUACCACAACAAUCCGCAGGAUUGGGUGCAAUUCCAGGUAUUGCAAGACUAAACACCACGUCUAAUCUAUUAAUUACUACUCUAGCGUUAUAAAGACUAGAGCACUUGAUGCAAGCGGGAAUCCAAUAAAUAACUUGAAUGUAAAUAAAGGUAAUUAAAGAACUCAGGAAUUAUGAAUUGAAGAACUUGAAGAACGAUGAAGAACGAACCAGUUGCUGCAAAAGUAUAAUGUUGAGGAAGAUCCGACAGAACCGGCUCCUCCGCUCUCCUCUUCUCUCUCCCUAUUUUCUACAUUACAACUAGAACGAACUAGAACUAGAACUAGAGGAACUAGAACUAGAUGAACUAGAACUAGAUGAACUAGAACUAGAACUAGAUGAACUAGAGGGAUCCUCUCUACUUGGAUGAAGAAUUGAAACCCUAGCUUUGAUUCUGUAGAAGAGGUAUGCUCACCAAGGGCCAGGGGGCCUCGCUUAUAUUGUCUUUUCAGAUGAAUCUGGGCCGUCGGAUCAAACCGACAUUAAUCGCACGGUUUUCUUUGAUCCCUUAGGUCGGUGGAGCGUGAUCCGCGAAACGGGUCCGAAUUGGACACUGAAGGUGGGAGGGCGCCCAAAGGAGUAGGGCGGGCGCCCUGUCCCUGAGCCCUCUCGGCUUUCCGUUCGUUUUUGUGGCUUCUAGAGUCUUCUAGAUGAUAGAGAAUUGCGCGGCACGUUAAUAUCUCUAUGUAAACCUGACGUGUGGGCCUUUCCUCCGUAUUUCCUGAUAACACCCUACAGAAAUAGACAAACAUCAAAACUCAUGGAAUUUUGUGAGAUAAAACCCUAAGUCUGGGUGUUGGUUGCAUUUGGAUCCUUUUCCAUGAUUACUUGAUGGUUAAAUGUGAGCAUUAAGGACCGUCAACAAGCUCCCCCAAGCUUAACCUUUGCUCGUCCCUGAGCAAAGAUGAACUCAAGAGUUUCUGCAGUGGUUUCAUGCCUUAAGAUAUACAUGCGUUCAAACAAGAUCUCAUCUCUAGGUUAGGGUAACUGUUAAGAUUUAAACUUACUCAUUUUACCUUCCACCAUGGGGCUUGCAACCGUCACUUUUGUCUUGAGCAGUUAAAAGAUAGAACAGUCUAGUCAAGCGCCAUGUCUCUUGUUCUUUGAUUAACUAUAGCUCUGGAGUAUUUGCAGAUUUUCAAAUAAAACUCAGAGAUUCCUUGUAUGACUCUCUCUAGUCUCUCUUUUGUGGUAUUUCUAGAUCCUUACCAAGGCAGUAAUAGUGUAUGCCUUCUCUCAAAGUAUGUGGUAUUUUUGGUAUGAGGCAUAGUGGUAUUGCCUUCUCUCUCACCCUACUCUAAUAAGGUUUUGAUAUCUGGAGCUCAUAGGUGGGAGACAGCUAAUACAUACUUACAAGACAUUUAUUGCAUAGUCAAACCAUGGAUCCAGAAGAACAAGUCAAUAAGUCAAAUCAAGACGUGCAUGUGUGGCGAAUGAAUGGUGAUAACAAUGGUGAUGAUGGUGAUAACAAUGGUGAAAGUCUAAUUCUACAUGUGCUCUUUUGAGGGGAUACAUACCUUCCUUGCUCUUUUGAAACUUUUGGAGAGAAUGAGAUGCUCUAUAUUUUCCUUUUCUUUUCUCUCAGGUGGGUAUCUUGUACCUCUAAUUCUACUGUCGGACACUUGUCCAUUUUUACCUCUCGUCUCACUUUUUUUUCUUUUCUUUCGAGGUUUCGGGCACUUGCCCCUUUUUAUUUCCUCGUAUCUUUUUUUUCUCUCUUUUUUUUAUUAGAGCACUCAUCUCCUAAAAUAAUAUAGCAAGUGGUAGUAACCAAGAUAACUUGAGCAUUUAUUUCACAGGGAAAACAGAAAUGUUUUUGGCUAUUCUCUUCUAGAUAGGAGUAGAUUAAUUUUGGGUGAAUCUAGAUAUGAAAAUGAGUGGAUGUAUGUGGAUGCAUACUUCCGGAGUAGAAGCAGCAUGUAUGAGUGAACGUGCAAGUGAAUCUUGAUUUUAACCACAUGACAAGCUCCUAAGGGUCUACACAGCUUGACCACACUCAAUGCUCAUAAGCAGUAAAGUAAAUGUGUGGCUCAAAGUUUAGCAAGCAUAUAUAUAUGGCUGUGGUAGGAAUUUAAACUCUCAUCAUACAUGAACUCAUCAUGCAACAUUUUAAAUAUUUUCAAAGAUAAAAUUCUCCAGAUUUCUAGCAUAUUUAGGAACAGAUAAAUAGCAGCUCAACCUUCCCAUAUCAUAUCGGUUAAUAACUUAGACUUUAGAUCAAGUACUCUCCCCACAAGUUCAGGUUUAGAGCAAAUCUUAAUUCAUAACAGUGAUGCCUAAACUUGAGAGAGAUUUCAAUUUUGAGAACUAGUCAUGGCAGAGCAACUAUUCAUCAUUUCCUUGUGAGAGCUUAUCAUGAGGGUUCAUAGCAAAUUUUAUUUAUUUAUUUAUUUAGCAAACUAAGGAAAGAUGUAAGCACAAAAUCUUUAUUUGGGUUUUUAUGAUUAUGCAUCUUUUUAUUAUUUGAGUAAAAUAUAAACGUGAGUAGAACACUUAGCUGGAUAAAUGGGGGUGCUCUCCCCCAAGCUGGAUUUUGACGCAAUUUCUUCUGAUGUAGCUAGCAGGUGGCGGAGGUGUUUUUUAAUGUCGGCAGCAUCCUGACAGCGGUUAGGAUGUCCUCUGUCUUCUAGUCUUCUUUGAUCCUUGAAUUCUGUGGAGCUCAAAUAGACAACAAAGCUUUGUGGAACUAGUUAAGUGUUAGCAUAAAUAUCUAUCCUUUAUCAUGUUGAGCCUCCUCAAUAAAUGUUACUCUCUUUAGUAGGAUCAUAACUUUAUUUUUAUAAUUUUAUCUUUAUAGGACAGGAAUAUAUUUAUUUCAUUUUUACGCCACCACAGCGAAUGUACUUAUGGGUUUUAUGCCAUGAGCAUACUCACAUGGGGCUUACUAUUUUUUAACAUUUUUAUUUUUUUUUCAAGAUAGCAUAAACCUGAUUAACUAAGCAAACUAUUUUAAAUAAUUGUAAAGAAAAAGAUAACUACCAAGUUUACCUCUUGGCAAGGCGUUUGGUGUUUUUAAGUCCUCCGAACGGGACUCUCUGUUUUCUCAAUCGUCCUGGGAUUCGCUGGAUGGCGUAGUCGGUGGUUCCGGCAGUGCCUCCUCUUCGUGUAUAAUUAUCUUCUCUCUCUACACCUGACUCGGUGCUACGGUCUCCUCAGGACAGUUUUGUUAAGCUGUAUGUCUUCAGACCUUACUACUUCUUCUUCAUAGUCUGCCCAUCUGUCCUUUAUAAUUUGCCUCCUCUGGUUGCGGUUGUGUUGUCUUCUUCUUGUCCUGACCUGCUUAGAGUCUUCAACUAUAUAGUUAGGGUCAGUAAAAUAGUGGCGUACCUUCUCAAAGGGGAAAUGCAUGUGGACUUCUCUGGUUCCAAUGUAUAUGAUUGCUUUAACGGUUCUGAGGAACUGUCUCCCAAGGAUGAUGGGUGGACCGUACUCAUCUUCUCCCAUGUCAAUAACCUUCAAAUCGUCUGGAGCUGAAUGUAUGUCGGUUUUAGGGGCAUGGUUCCGAAGAGGAGUUGAUAGGUGACUGCGGCCAUUAUGUUGACGCCUGAUCCGGUGUCGUAGAGUGUCUUCUGGAAAGAAUAUCCGUUGAUUCUGCACUCGAUGUUUGGAACACCAGGGUCGUCCUUCUUGAUCAAGAAAGGCGACUUGAGUUGACGAUCUUGACCUCCUUGAGCUACAGUGACCAUCUUAGCUGACUCAGUCCACAUUUGCUUGUUCCUGUUCCUCCUGUUGGUCCUCUUCCUUGGUUCAUGUCGGGAAUGCUCUGAGAUUUGUGUAGUCUUUUUCUUGAAGGAAAAUGUCUCCUUCCUCCCCUUGAUGUAGAAACUGAUCUUGGCAGCACUAGCGUAGAUGAUAGCUCCCGAGGUGUUCAGGAAUGGCCUCCCUAGGAUGAUGUGUGCCCUCUCAUCAGUACCAGUCUCCAUCACCACGAAGUCUGCUGGGGCGUACAAGGUACCAACUCGGACGCAGAAGUUCUUCAAUAUCCCCUUUGGGAAACUUAGUGUCUGAUCUGCAGGCAUGCCGAUGGAGAUCGGGAUGACGGUGCGUCCUGGAUCAUCUCUCUUGACCGGC